GCUCCGUUAGUCUAGUGGCCAAGGAUGCCGCCCUCUCACGGCGGUGACCCGGGUUCAAAUCCCGGACGGAGCG
Molecule: transfer RNA, 73 nt
Filed under: archaeon
Lineage: Archaea
Description: tRNA-Glu
Rfam family: tRNA
About the family: Transfer RNA (tRNA) molecules are approximately 80 nucleotides in length. Their secondary structure includes four short double-helical elements and three loops (D, anti-codon, and T loops).
Source: RNAcentral